UAAAAAUUAGUUUAAAAAAAAUAUCUAAUUGUCAAUUAGAAGAAAAUAGUUAAUAUUAUUUUUUU
RNAcentral lists this transfer RNA (65 nucleotides) under Amaga expatria. Its description in RNAcentral is "tRNA-Asp". The record is from RNAcentral. Lineage: Eukaryota; Metazoa; Platyhelminthes; Tricladida; Geoplanidae.